This 556-nucleotide long non-coding RNA is filed under the name Gadus morhua (Atlantic cod). Its description in RNAcentral is "lncRNA (ENSGMOG00000024484.1)". Lineage: Eukaryota; Metazoa; Chordata; Actinopteri; Gadiformes; Gadidae. The record is from RNAcentral.
GCCGGCAAUUGUGAUACUGGUCAAUAGCUUCUUCCCUUUAUUAACUUCCCUUUUAACAUCCUUGACGCGUCUGAAUGAGGUUUUAGCGAACACAGCAAAGGUUGGUCAGACAGAGAUCCUGAUACAAAGCCUCAUGUAUACAAUACUUUUUAUCUUCAACCACUAAAGGCAGAGGAGACUACUGUAGUGGAAUUGUCCGGUUUGACGAACAGGCCGCUAAAUAGAGAGGCUCAACAUCAUCCUGAUGAGGAGCCGUUGGAAGACUCCACCGACUCAGACAUGGAGAUAGAUGGCUUGCCGGGUUCUGUAGAGUGGUUAAUGGAGAAUCUGGAAAUAGAAGACCAUGGAAGUGUCCAUCCUGCCUAGGCCCAGUGCUUUCCCGCGAUUCAGAUCCUGACCUACCACCGGUCCUGCCUGUUCUCUGAACCCUGCCUGUCUGACUCUUCUGCCGGUUCCUGAUCCCUGCCUGUCUGACUCUUCUGCCGGUUCCUGAUCCCUGCCUGUCUGACUCUUCUGCCGGUUCCUGAUCCCCGCCUGUCUGACUAUUCUGCCGGUU